UACGUAGGGUGCAAGCGUUGUCCGGAAUUAUUGGGCGUAAAGGGCUCGUAGGCGGUCCAUCACGUCGGGAGUGAAAAGCUGGGGCUUAACCCCAGUCCUGCUUCCGAUACGGUUGGACUAGAGGUAUGCAGGGGAGAACGGAAUUCCUGGUGUAGCGGUGGAAUGCGCAGAUAUCAGGAGGAACACCGGUGGCGAAGGCGGUUCUCUGGGCAUUACCUGACGCUGAGGAGCGAAAGCAUGGGGAGCGAACAGG
This 253-nucleotide ribosomal RNA is filed under the name uncultured bacterium. Its description in RNAcentral is "partial 16S ribosomal RNA". It matches the Rfam family "Bacterial small subunit ribosomal RNA", at positions 524 to 776 of the family's 1533-position model. The record is from RNAcentral.